ACGAACGCUGGCGGCGUGCUUAACACAUGCAAGUCGAACGGAAAGGCCCUGCUUUUGUGGGGUGCUCGAGUGGCGAACGGGUGAGUAACACGUGAGUAACCUGCCCUUGACUUUGGGAUAACUUCAGGAAACUGGGGCUAAUACCGGAUAGGAGCUCCUGCUGCAUGGUGGGGGUUGGAAAGUUUCGGCGGUUGGGGAUGGACUCGCGGCUUAUCAGCUUGUUGGUGGGGUAGUGGCUUACCAAGGCUUUGACGGGUAGCCGGCCUGAGAGGGUGACCGGCCACAAUGGGACUGAGAUACGGCCCAGACUCCUACGGGAGGCAGCCGUGGGGAAUAUUGCACAAUGGGCGGAAGCCUGAUGCAGCAACGCCGCGUGCGGGAUGACGGCCUUCGGGUUGUAAACCGCUUUCGCCUGUGACGAAGCGUGAGUGACGGUAAUGGGUAAAGAAGCACCGGCUAACUACGUG
RNAcentral lists this ribosomal RNA (467 nucleotides) under uncultured bacterium. RNAcentral's name for it is "partial 16S ribosomal RNA". It matches the Rfam family "Bacterial small subunit ribosomal RNA", at positions 29 to 507 of the family's 1533-position model. The record is from RNAcentral.